UCCAGGAGAGCUGUGUUGUGAUGGGCCAGGUCCAGUAGAGCUGUGUUGUGAUGGGCCUGGUCUAGUAGAGCUGUGUUGUGAUGGGCCGGGUCUAGUAGAGCUGUGUUGUGAUGGGCCUGGUCCAGUAGAGCUGUGUUGUGAUGGGCCUGGUCUAGUAGAGCUGUGUUGUGAUGGGCCUGGUCUAGUAGAGCUGUGUUGUGAUGGGCCUGGUCUAGUAGAGCUGUGUUGUGAUGGGCCAGGUCCAGUAGAGCUGUGUUGUGAUGGGCCAGGUCCAGUAGAGCUGUGUUGUGAUGGUUCUGGUCUAGUAGAGCUGUGUUGUGAUGGUUCUGGUCUAGUAGAGCUGUGUUGUGAUGGGCCAGGUCCAGUAGAGCUGUGUUGUGAUGGGCCAGGUCCAGUAGAGCUGUGUUGUGAUGGGCCAGGUCUAGUAGAGCUGUGUUGUGAUGGUUCUGGUCUAGUAGAGCUGUGUUGUGAUGGGCCGGGUCUAGUAGAGCUGUGUUGUGAUGGGCCAGGUCCAGUAGAGCUGUGUUGUGAUGGGCCAGGUCCAGUAGAGCUGUGUUGUGAUGGUUCUGGUCUAGUAGAGCUGUGUUGUGAUGGUCCAGGUCCAGGAGAG
Molecule: long non-coding RNA, 610 nt
Organism: Oncorhynchus keta (chum salmon)
Lineage: Eukaryota; Metazoa; Chordata; Actinopteri; Salmoniformes; Salmonidae
Exons: 4
Source: RefSeq, a predicted model, not a curated record